Raphanus sativus (radish) is the source of this 1377-nucleotide long non-coding RNA. RefSeq lists it as uncharacterized. NCBI's taxonomy places the organism in Eukaryota, Viridiplantae, Streptophyta, Magnoliopsida, Brassicales, Brassicaceae. The record is from RefSeq and is a predicted model, not a curated record. The transcript is spliced from 5 exons.
AAACAAUAUUAAAAGGAGAAUACGAGCAACAGAGAGACCAUCCACGUCGGCAAUUAAAAUCAUCCAAUAUGGUGCCUCCUUUUCUCCACGUCAAACCGAAUGUGGGCUGAAUUUGGGCUGAUCUUAAUAAGCGAAGAAGCUUCUUUAUCUCUCCUAUUUGUGCUAAGGCGCAAGGUGACGCCUGAGCUUUUCCUAAUCUCUGAAACCGUCUCUUUUUCUUGAUUAGUCCCAUUAAUUUGAUUGCCCACAAUUACGUCUUCAAUGCGUGGCUUAGAUCUUUAAGGCGGUGCGUUUUCAGAUAUAAAUAUGUUGCGUAAGAUUUAGGAACUUGGCUCUAAUUAGUAAGGCUACUUCAUGUGUUGUUGAUCUGUUGAACAUGUGAUGGCUUACUCGCUUUGUAUAUCUUAAAAGAUAUAUGAUCUCAAUUUUUUUUCGAGUUCAGCUAAGUUUUGUUUAAUUGUUAAGUCAUGUUCAGAGUAGGCUAUGGAUGGAUCAUGGUGCUGUUAUAUAGGUGGGUACAAAGCGUGGGCUCGCUCCUGGGAAUGCAGCUAGCAAAAAUGGUUAUCACUGUAGAGAAAUUAUUCUCUCUGUUAUCUUAGUAGCCUAGGAAAUGUGUUGUAAACCUUUCUUGCUGAUGGUUACAAAAGAUCAACAAGGCAAACCGUGGUCACCUUACUUCCCAUGAGUUGAAAGAACGACAAGUUAGAUUCUAUGGAACUGGCCAAUGUAGGACCGGCAACCAGAAAAUUCUCACAGAUUCUGCAAUAAUACAUGUUUUGUUUGAUCUGUGACCCAGACUUAUCAAGAAAGCUCUCACGGAGAAAUGUAACCUUAACUCGUUGAAGAUGUUGUGGUCAUAUUUCUUUUUAUAGAGAAAUCGAAUGAGGCUAAGAGAUUGGUGGUUCUGGUGUUUGCUUCUCAGAUUGUUUUAAAAGAUGCGCUUGGAUCACACCCAAGUCUGGCAAAGGUUUCUAUGGAACAAGGAUCUUAUAUAUGGGAGCUGGAUAGAUCAGCAAUCUUUUCAUAUACGGGAGCUGGAUAGAUCAGCAAUUUGCUCUUUUAUUCCCCUCUGUUUCAAGCAAUAAAUUUGGUUGGAGAGACCAGAAGCGGGAAAUCUAUAAUGUAAUUGCGAUGUUGCAGAGGUUACAAGAUUUUGAUCACGUCAGCAAAGCUAGAACCGGUUUUGCUCAAAGAAACCGUCGUACCAAACAUUGCUUGUGGAGGAUGAUAAGCUAUCUGCAGCUCAGCUAUUUAAUGCUCAUGGCUUUUUAGUGUACCAAGCAUGUAACUUUAACGGCACUUGAAAGAAUGUGCAGCUCUAAAUUCCAGAUUCAUACUACACAUGAAUAUGUAUUAAGUGUUGCAAGCAUUUAAUUA